GGUUUUACCUACCUAGCGGAGCUAGAGCAUACGCUUUGGGACCCGAAAGAUGGUGAACUAUGCCUGGGCAGGACGAAGCCAGAGGAAACUCUGGUGGAGGUCCGCAGCGAUUCUGACGUGCAAAUCGAUCGUCAGACCUUGGUAUAGGGGCGAAAGACUAAUCGAACCAUCUAGUAGCUGGUUCCCUCCGAAGUUUCCCUCAGGAUAGCUGGCGCUUAAUGACAACCGGUCUCAUCCGGUAAAGCGAAUGAUUAGAGGCCUUGGGGCCGAAACGACCUCAACCUAUUCUCAAACUUUAAAUGGGUGAGAAGUCCGGCUUGCUCGACUGAAGCCCGGACGUCGGACGCGAGUGCCAAGUGGGCCAUUUUUGGUAAGCAGAACUGGCGAUGCGGGAUGAACCGAACGCCGGGUUAAGGCGCCCGAUGCGAGACGCUUAGCAGACCCCAUGAAAGGUGUUGGUUGCUAUAGACAGCAGGACGGUGGCCAUGGAAGUCGGAAUCCGCUAAGGAGUGUGUAACAACUCACCUGCCGAAGCAACUAGCCCUGAAAAUGGAUGGCGCUUCAGCGUCGAGCCCAUACCCGGCUCCUUCGGCAUAUUCUAAGCCGA
RNAcentral lists this ribosomal RNA (607 nucleotides) under Ideobisium crassimanum. Its description in RNAcentral is "partial large subunit ribosomal RNA". It matches the Rfam family "Eukaryotic large subunit ribosomal RNA", at positions 775 to 1375 of the family's 3401-position model. Lineage: Eukaryota; Metazoa; Arthropoda; Arachnida; Pseudoscorpiones; Syarinidae. The record is from RNAcentral.